AGCAUUAACACCAAAUCAUCUUAUAAUUUGUAGAUUCAAGGGAUUUGACUCAAGAGCAAUUGAAGGGAUUUUCUCGAGGAUUCUUUGAUAGGUAAGUCCCUAGUUUAUUUAUAGAAAGUAGGUGGGAUAAUUAGGUUCCUAUAGCCUAUUGAAAUACAUCAUAAAUAUUGGGGGUGAUUCUCCUAUUCAAAAUGAACAUUAAUACUACCCUAAAACCCUAGUUUUCCAUAAAGGGUCAGAAUCCAUUAAAAUAAACCAAAGUUCUAAACUUUAUCAUCGAAAUUUAAUAUAGAUUCAAUGUUAGCACUAUCGAACAAAUUUAGACCAAUUAUUAGCGAGGAUCAAGGAAUCGAUCCUUCAUGACCUGACAACAUAUGUAUAUGAAUUUUCUUCACCCUAUGAAUUAGAUUUUUUGUACUUAACUUCUAAAUUUACAUUAUUUGAAGAAGUUAAACUAUAUGAAUGGUCCAUUGAUAUGAAACAUGAUUAUAUACUUCCUAACAUGAUUUCUGAACUAUUUUUAGGACCAUGGAAUACCCAGAUUUGAAUAUUAAAGUUAUUCAACUAUUCUGUCAUGAAUUUUACUAUUUGUGUUUGUUCUUAGAUGAGUCGGUAUUUUACCAACUUAUUGGACUCAAAUUAAAGUAUUAUUGCUAUGUUGUAAUGCUCAUUGAAGGGGUUUGAGGUCCUAGUUCUCUUAUAUGCAGACAUUUAUUAGAUAAGCCAAGGUUGACGGAUUUGGAGCUUAAAAUCAUUGAAGCACACCUGUGAAGGAAAAGGCAUUGUGCAAGAGCUAAUUGGCGUCUUGCUGGAUAAAAACCAGCUUGACUAGAGAAAGACUGCCUAAGCAUCGACAAAUCAUUGUCAUAGUAUAACUCCUAAUCGAUAUUCUGUCGAUUCCAAUGCAGGUGUCCCUAAUGAAAUUAAGGGCUAAAGCGGUGAUGUGAAUGACACUGAAUAAUCUUGGAAUGGUGUUCCGCCUGUCCAGCGCAAGUUGAAGAGCAGAAGCUAAAGGGAAAAUAUACUUGGAGAAUAAAUUGCUUCAUUUGGAAGGUUUCA
RNAcentral lists this long non-coding RNA (1059 nucleotides) under Solanum tuberosum (potato). RNAcentral's name for it is "long non-coding RNA (STUB_LNC007383)". Lineage: Eukaryota; Viridiplantae; Streptophyta; Magnoliopsida; Solanales; Solanaceae. The record is from RNAcentral.